UAGUCCUAGCUGUAAACGAUGGCCACUAAGUAGGGGAACUCCAAAGGUUUCCCUGCCGUAGCUAAUGUAUUAAGUGGCCCGCCUGGGGAGUAUGGUCGCAAGGCUGAAACUCAAAGGAAUUGACGGGGGCUCACACAAGCGGUGGAGCAUGUUGUUUAAUUCGAUGCAACGCGAAGAACCUUACCUGGGCUUGACAUGUAUGUGGUAUCAAACCGAAAGGGGCGAGACCUACUUUGUAGGAGCAUACACAGGUAUUGCACGGCUGUCGUCAGCUCGUGCCGUGAGGUGUUCGGUUAAGUCCGCGAACGAGCGCAACCCUCAUCGUUAGUUACAAGUGUCUAGCGAGACUGCCCGUGACAAGCGGGAGGAAGGUGGGGAUGAUGUCAAGUCAGCAUGGCCUUUAUAUCCUGGGCUACACACACGCUACAAUGGUUAGUACAAUGGGUUGCCAAACCGCAAGGUGGAGCCAAUCCCCCAAAGCUAAUCUCAGUUCGGAUUGUAGG
RNAcentral lists this ribosomal RNA (503 nucleotides) under uncultured bacterium. RNAcentral describes it as "bacterial SSU rRNA". It matches the Rfam family "Bacterial small subunit ribosomal RNA", at positions 791 to 1304 of the family's 1533-position model. The record is from RNAcentral.